Molecule: ribosomal RNA, 492 nt
Filed under: uncultured bacterium
Lineage: Bacteria
Description: partial 16S ribosomal RNA
Rfam family: Bacterial small subunit ribosomal RNA
Source: RNAcentral
GAUGAACGCUAGCUACAGGCUUAACACAUGCAAGUCGAGGGGAAACGACAUCGAAAGCUUGCUUUUGAUGGGCGUCGACCGGCGCACGGGUGAGUAACGCGUAUCCAACCUGCCCAUCACUUGGGAAUAACCUUGCGAAAGUAAGACUAAUACCCAAUGACAUCCCACGAAGACAUCUGAAUGGGAUUAAAGAUUUAUCGGUGAUGGAUGGGGAUGCGUCUGAUUAGCUUGUUGGCGGGGUAACGGCCCACCAAGGCAACGAUCAGUAGGGGUUCUGAGAGGAAGGUCCCCCACAUUGGAACUGAGGCACGGUCCAAACUCCUACGGGAGGCAGCAGUGAGGAAUAUUGGUCAAUGGGCGAGAGCCUGAACCAGCCAAGUAGCGUGCAGGAGGACGGCCCUAUGGGUUGUAAACUGCUUUUAUAAGGGAAUAAAGUGGGUCUCGUGAGACUUUUUGCAUGUACCUUAUGAAUAAGGACCGGCUAAUUCCGUG